RNAcentral lists this ribosomal RNA (497 nucleotides) under uncultured bacterium. RNAcentral describes it as "partial 16S ribosomal RNA". It matches the Rfam family "Bacterial small subunit ribosomal RNA", at positions 28 to 507 of the family's 1533-position model. The record is from RNAcentral.
GAUGAACGCUGGCGGCGUGCCUAAUACAUGCAAGUCGAGCGAACAGACGAGGAGCUUGCUCCUCUGACGUUAGCGGCGGACGGGUGAGUAACACGUGGAUAACCUACCUAUAAGACUGGGAUAACUUCGGGAAACCGGAGCUAAUACCGGAUAAUAUAUUGAACCGCAUGGUUCAAUAGUGAAAGACGGUUUUGCUGUCACUUAUAGAUGGAUCCGCGCCGCAUUAGCUAGUUGGUAAGGUAACGGCUUACCAAGGCAACGAUGCGUAGCCGACCUGAGAGGGUGAUCGGCCACACUGGAACUGAGACACGGUCCAGACUCCUACGGGAGGCAGCAGUAGGGAAUCUUCCGCAAUGGGCGAAAGCUUGACGGAGCAACGCCGCGUGAGUGAUGAAGGUCUUCGGAUCGUAAAACUCUGUUAUUAGGGAAGAGCAAAUGUGUAAGUAACUAUGCACGUCUUGACGGUACCUAAUCAGAAAGCCGCGGCUAACUACGUG